RNAcentral lists this non-coding RNA (31 nucleotides) under Rattus norvegicus (Norway rat). Lineage: Eukaryota; Metazoa; Chordata; Mammalia; Rodentia; Muridae. The record is from RNAcentral.
UAGCAGGAUGGUUUGGAUUCAGGUCUCUGUU